UACGAAGGGGGCUAGCGUUGCUCGGAAUCACUGGGCGUAAAGGGUGCGUAGGCGGGUCUUUAAGUCAGGGGUGAAAUCCUGGAGCUCAACUCCAGAACUGCCUUUGAUACUGAAGAUCUUGAGUCCGGGAGAGGAGAGUGGAAUUCCUGGUGUAGCGGUGAAAUGCGUAGAUAUCAGGAGGAACACCGGUGGCGAAGGCGGCUCUCUGGACGGUGACUGACGCUGAGACGCGAAAGCGUGGGGAGCAAACAGG
This 253-nucleotide ribosomal RNA is filed under the name uncultured bacterium. Its description in RNAcentral is "partial 16S ribosomal RNA". It matches the Rfam family "Bacterial small subunit ribosomal RNA", at positions 524 to 776 of the family's 1533-position model. The record is from RNAcentral.